UUUCAAUUUCAGGUCAGCAAUGGUAAGUAUAGUGUGUUUUUUUAUGUAUAAUUUUGUAUACAUAUUGUUUUUUUCAUCAUAGCAUGUCUUUUAUAUUUAUGCUUUGUGUAAGUAAAAUGUUCAUAAAUCAUUCUUAUCUUCAAACUAAAAAUGUAUUGUGCUAUGCAAAAUGUCUGUAUGAUUUCAGUUGCCAGAGGUGAGUACCAUUACAGUUGAAAAGUUAGUUUUGUUUAGUUAAAGUUUUGGUUCACAGUUCUGUUUGUUAUUUGGCAAAAUUUACAUGUAUGCAUUGAGUCUUGAUUUCAGCUCGAUUGUGGACUGAAGAAGAUUGCCCGCAGAGGGAUUGGAUACAAAAUACAAAGUAAGUACUGAGUUUCUUACUAAAAGUUUUGAGUUGUAUUCAUUGUAUGUUAAUAUGCUAUGAUUGCUAUGAACAUGACUUUUGUAUUUCAGCGAAGACAACAUAGGUAAGUAAAAUUGUUAUCUGUUUCAUGUUUACUGUUACAGUUCAAUAUUGUGUUUAUAAAUUGUAAGUUGUACAAACACAUUCAAAAGUUUCUAAUCAUGCUUUCGAUUUCAUUUCAGCUUUACUGCUAGACGAGUGUUCUCUACUACUUGACGAGUCAGCUUUACUACCAGGCGAGCAGUGACAACAAGGCGCCUUUGUGGAAACAACACAACAAAAAACUGUACUGCUAGACGAGCAGUGACAGAAAGGCGCCUGAACAUGCAACACAAAACAAAAAAUGCCAAUAUACAAACCUUGAUGUGAACACCGAGUAGUCAAUGCAUACGUGUGGCGUACAGCUGCGACAAAACCGUGGGUCCAUCGCACCGAUAACUCGAACAUUGGCCCGCGUAUGGACAUCAGUGCAACUUUGUGAAUCCAUGUAACUUUGUGAAUCCAUGUAACAUUGCGAAUAUGUGUCGAUCGAAAAAUGUGUACAUUCUGCACUGAAACGAACUCGGUGUUGCAAGUGGCAAGUGUUGACAGUGUGUAUGUUUAUGUUUAUGUUUUUACAUGAAAACUAAAGGAGAUUGUUCUCCUACCUUUUUUUUCCUUGUUUUAUUGCGCUGGCCAGCAAUAUUGAUGUAUUGAUGUAUGUGUUUGUGUUUAAACUAUGCAAUACCAAAAUCAAACAAAAAUAAACAUUAACAGUCAUUAACUGUGUUUGGGCGGCCGAGGGGUUUAAGACUCCACAAGUGUGAAGCGCACUGAUAGCACUUGGGGGUGAACACCUCGGUAUUUCGGUGCUAAAAUGUUUUCACGGUGCUUAUCUUGACGCACUGUUAAGACUACCAACCAGUUAAUGAUUGCUUCAUCUUUAAACAAAAAGUAAGUCUCUACUUUGGCACAAGAGACUCCAAGUACCAAAUACCAACAAUUAAAAAGCAGACGUUUUUCAAAACUAUGAUCGCUGAGAUUGAUAGUCAGAUGGAGUCCUGCCCAGUUAGCUGUGUAGCGGUCUAGGGCGGGGUUGCAAGUCAAUACGAAAUGAGGCGCUAUAAAGCAACUCGUCCCCGUUAUGACCGUCAAUACUUUCGACACUAUCUGGGAAUCCUUUCAACACCACAUUGUUGCGCUGUUGGAAGGGUGGUAGGCACGCAUGGUGACAUGCCUGUGCUUUGCUAUGCGACACCAUGGUAUUUUCGUACGGUGACACGAAAUAUCUUAAUCUGGCUCUCUCAGAAACGCAGGCACGCGUUGACCGAACCUGACCGAUGACCGAGCAAUAACAUUUCUAUUAAGUGCUUCAAUGCACAAAGUCUGCUAGGCUGGGUGGGAA
This is a long non-coding RNA of Dreissena polymorpha, 1787 nucleotides long. RefSeq lists it as uncharacterized. The record is from RefSeq and is a predicted model, not a curated record. The transcript has 3 exons. NCBI's taxonomy places the organism in Eukaryota, Metazoa, Mollusca, Bivalvia, Myida, Dreissenidae.